RNAcentral lists this ribosomal RNA (812 nucleotides) under uncultured beta proteobacterium. RNAcentral describes it as "bacterial SSU rRNA". It matches the Rfam family "Bacterial small subunit ribosomal RNA", at positions 58 to 866 of the family's 1533-position model. Lineage: Bacteria; Pseudomonadati; Pseudomonadota; Betaproteobacteria. The record is from RNAcentral.
CAAGUCGAGCGGCAGCGCGGGGCAACCUGGCGGCGAGCGGCGAACGGGUGAGUAAUGCAUCGGAACGUGUCCAUGUCGUGGGGGAUAGCCCGGCGAAAGCCGGAUUAAUACCGCAUACGCCCGAGAGGGGAAAGUGGGGGACCGCAAGGCCUCACGCGAUUGGAUCGGCCGAUGUCCGAUUAGCUAGUUGGCGGGGUAAAGGCCCACCAAGGCGAUGAUCGGUAGCUGGUCUGAGAGGAUGAUCAGCCACACUGGGACUGAGACACGGCCCAGACUCCUACGGGAGGCAGCAGUGGGGAAUUUUGGACAAUGGGGGCAACCCUGAUCCAGCCAUUCCGCGUGAGUGAAGAAGGCCUUCGGGUUGUAAAGCUCUUUUGUCCGGAACGAAACGGGUAACGUGAAUAUCGUUGCCUACUGACGGUACCGGAAGAAUAAGCACCGGCUAACUACGUGCCAGCAGCCGCGGUAAUACGUAGGGUGCGAGCGUUAAUCGGAAUUACUGGGCGUAAAGCGUGCGCAGGCGGUUUUGUAAGCCGGAUGUGAAAUCCCCGGGCUUAACCUGGGAAUGGCAUUCGGGACUGCAAGGCUGGAGUGCGGCAGAGGAGACUGGAAUUCCUGGUGUAGCAGUGAAAUGCGUAGAUAUCAGGAGGAACACCGAUGGCGAAGGCAGGUCUCUGGGCUGACACUGACGCUCAUGCACGAAAGCGUGGGGAGCAAACAGGAUUAGAUACCCUGGUAGUCCACGCCCUAAACGAUGUCGACUGGUUGUUGGGGGUUUGACACUCUCAGUAACGAAGCUAACGCGUGAAGUC